CCUACGGGAGGCGGCAGUGAGGAAUAUUGGUCAAUGGGCGGAAGCCUGAACCAGCCAAGUAGCGUGCAGGAUGACGGCCCUACGGGUUGUAAACUGCUUUUAUACGGGAAUAACGCGCCUUACGUGUAGGGCUUUGCAUGUACCGUAUGAAUAAGGACCGGCUAAUUCCGUGCCAGCAGCCGCGGUAAUACGGAAGGUCCGGGCGUUAUCCGGAUUUAUUGGGUUUAAAGGGAGCGUAGGCCGCAUGUCAAGCGUGCUGUGAAAUGUCCGGGCUCAACCCGGGCCUUGCAGCGCGAACUGGCGAGCUUGAGUCCGCGGAAAGUAGGCGGAAUUCGUCGUGUAGCGGUGAAAUGCUUAGAUAUGACGAAGAACCCCGAUUGCGAAGGCAGCUUGCUGCAGCGGAACUGACGCUGAUGCUCGAAAGCGCGGGUAUCGAACAGGAUUAGAUACCCCUGUAGUC
This 460-nucleotide ribosomal RNA is filed under the name uncultured bacterium. Its description in RNAcentral is "partial 16S ribosomal RNA". It matches the Rfam family "Bacterial small subunit ribosomal RNA", at positions 338 to 795 of the family's 1533-position model. The record is from RNAcentral.